RNAcentral lists this ribosomal RNA (562 nucleotides) under uncultured bacterium. RNAcentral describes it as "partial 16S ribosomal RNA". It matches the Rfam family "Bacterial small subunit ribosomal RNA", at positions 355 to 907 of the family's 1533-position model. The record is from RNAcentral.
UGGGGAAUAUUGGACAAUGGGCGAAAGCCUGAUCCAGCCAUGCCGCGUGUGUGAAGAUGGUCUUCGGAUUGUAAAGCACUUUAAGUUGGGAGGAAGGGCAGUUACCUAGUACGUGAUUGUCUUGACGUUACCGACAGAAUAAGCACCGGCUAACUCUGUGCCAGCAGCCGCGGUAAUACAGAGGGUGCAAGCGUUAAUCGGAAUUACUGGGCGUAAAGCGCGCGUAGGUGGUUUGUUAAGUUGGAUGUGAAAUCCCCGGGCUCAACCUGGGAACUGCAUCCAAAACUGGCAGGCUAGAGUAUGGUAGAGGGUGGUGGAAUUUCCUGUGUAGCGGUGAAAUGCGUAGAUAUAGGAAGGAACACCAGUGGCGAAGGCGACCACCUGGACUAAUACUGACACUGAGGUGCGAUAGCGUGGGGAGCAAAACAGGAUUAGAUACCCUGGUAGUCCACGCCGUAAACGAUGUCAACUAGCCGUUGGGAGCCUUGAGCUCUUAGUGGCGCAGCUAACGCAUUAAGUUGACCGCCUGGGGAGUACGGCCGCAAGGUUAAAAGCUUAAAGG